This 1646-nucleotide long non-coding RNA is filed under the name Equus caballus (horse). RNAcentral's name for it is "lncRNA (ENSECAG00000056369.1)". Lineage: Eukaryota; Metazoa; Chordata; Mammalia; Perissodactyla; Equidae. The record is from RNAcentral.
CUGGGACUAUUUUAAUAUUUUAAGCCACUGAAGGUCAUAUCAAGAAAUGACUUGAAGUUCUACGCCAGUCCUUCGGUAAUGGCUGCCUGUUGAUUCUGCUGAAAUGGAUUUCUGACCACAUCCGGGCUACGUGGGUGCUGCGAUCUAUUGGUACUGUCUGCCACAGGCAUAGCCUGAAGAACAGCUGGACCCUCUGCUGAGCCCACUCGCUGCAGCUGGGCCGUGCGUCCUUCCUUGAAGGGAGAGCCGGGGGCGCAGAUCUGUGCCCAUCACCGUCUGCCUGUUGACACACUUUAAAACCAAUGGUCUCCAGAAUGACGUAAGUAAAAAUGAUCCACUGGAAGCAGGAAAAAAACACCAAGAACUCACAGUAAUCCUUCACGUCAUCUUUUUUUGAUUAUGUGAAAAUGCACAUUAACAUAAAAUUUACCAUCUUACCAUUUUUAAAUGUAUAGUUCAGUAGUGUUAUGUAUAUUCAUGCUGUGGUGCGACCAGUCUCCAAAACUUUUUCAUCCUAGAAAACUGAAACUGUACCUUUUAAACAACAAUUCCCCCCUUUCCUCUUCCCCCCAGCUCUUGGCAACCACCCAUUUACUUUCUGUUUCUAUGAAUUUGGUACCUCAUAUAAGUAGAAUCAUAUGGUAUUUGUCUUUUUGUGACUGGCUUAUUUCAUUUAACAUAUUGUCUCCCAGGUUCAUGUAUGCUGUAGCUCUUAAAGGCUGGAUGAUAUUCCAUUGUGUGUGUACCACAUUUUGUUUAUCCAUUCAUCCAUUGAUGGACACUUGGGUGCUUUUGCCUCUUGGCUAUGGUGAAUAAUGCUGCUAUGAAUAUGGGUGUAGAAAUAUCUGAGUCUCUGUUUUCAAUUCUUUUGAAUAUAUGCCCAGAAGUGGAGUUGCUCUAUCAUAUGAUAAUGCUAUUUUUAAUUUUUUGAGGAACCUCCGUACUGUUCUCCAUACCAGCUGCUCUAUUUUAUUCCCACCAACAGUGCCCAAAGGUUCCAAUUUCUCCACAUCCUCGCCAACGCUGGUUAUUUUCUAGUUUUUUGAUAGUAGCAUCCUGGUGGGUAUGAGGUGGUAUCUCAUUGUGGUUACUUCAUCUAUUUAAUUUUUGUCUGUGAUUUAUAAUGCAAAAGCUCUAAUACUACAGUGGCAGACUAUGAAUUCACUCACUCAACAAGGAGGUCAGAACAGGAAGAGCGGCCAAAGCACAUACAGCCUCGCAGCCCUGGGAAUUUCAGCAUCUCUGAGCCAACAAGGAAACUGUUAGAUGAUAAGUAUGUCAACAUAUAAUGGGGUGGUGAUUAAAUAUUUUAUCAAUAAAGUUAUAAGAUCAAAAAUCUUCCAGACAACUGUUUUAAGAGGAGUACUUUGGGGUUCCAGAAAACAGAGUCUAGAAUCCUUAGACAGCAUCUGUUUCCUAGUUCUCAGCCAAAACACAUGUAAAAUUGCUAUCAUUUGGCUUGUACAAAACACGUACACCCACAUACACACACACACACAUUAAAACUUAAUUAAAAUGUGAAGACUCAUUUUUUGGCUGAGAAGUGAAAAUUGAAUAAAAAACAAUAAAAUUAAAUAAAACACAAAGAUAUUUAACUGAACAUUUAGGAAUAAGACUAAAGAGAACCUAAAGAAGUAUAAACUACU